CUCCUGGAAACGGGUGGUAAUGCCGGAUGCUCCGCCCCCUCGCAUGGGGGGGUCGGGAAGGCUUUUGCGGAAUGGGAUGGGGUCGCGUCCUAUCAGCUUGUUGGCGGGGCGACGGCCCACCAAGGCUUCGACGGGUAGCCGGCCUGAGAGGGCGACCGGCCACAUUGGGACUGAGAUACGGCCCAGACUCCUACGGGGGGCAGCAGUGGGGAAUAUUGCACAAUGGGGGGAACCCUGAUGCAGCGACGCCGCGUGCGGGAUGGAGGCCUUCGGGUCGUGAACCGCUUUUGAUUGGGAGCAAGCGUGAGUGAGUGUACCUUUCGAAUAAGCACCGGCUAACUACGUGCCAGCAGCCGCGGUAAUACGUAGGGUGCAAGCGUUGUCCGGAAUCAUUGGGCGUAAAGGGCUCGUAGGCGGUUCGUCGCGUCCGGUGUGAAAGCCCAUCGCUUAACGGUGGGUCUGCGCCGGGUACGGGCGGGCUUGAGUGCGGCAGGGGAGGCUGGAAUUCCCGGUGUAACGGUGGAGUGUGUAGAUAUCGGGAAGAACACC
RNAcentral lists this ribosomal RNA (549 nucleotides) under uncultured Bifidobacterium sp. Its description in RNAcentral is "bacterial SSU rRNA". It matches the Rfam family "Bacterial small subunit ribosomal RNA", at positions 147 to 710 of the family's 1533-position model. Lineage: Bacteria; Bacillati; Actinomycetota; Actinomycetes; Bifidobacteriales; Bifidobacteriaceae. The record is from RNAcentral.